This 903-nucleotide ribosomal RNA is filed under the name Sanguinoderma rugosum. RNAcentral's name for it is "partial large subunit ribosomal RNA". It matches the Rfam family "Eukaryotic large subunit ribosomal RNA", at positions 56 to 949 of the family's 3401-position model. Lineage: Eukaryota; Fungi; Basidiomycota; Agaricomycetes; Polyporales; Polyporaceae. The record is from RNAcentral.
ACUAGAACUAACAGGAUUCCCCUAGUAACUGCGAGUGAAGCGGGAAAAGCUCAAAUUUAAAAUCUGGCGGUCUUUGGUCGUCCGAGUUGUAGUCUGGAGAAGUGCUUUCCGCGCUGGACCGUGUAUAAGUCUCUUGGAACAGAGCGUCAUAGAGGGUGAGAAUCCCGUCUUUGACACGGACUACCAGUGCUUUGUGAUGCGCUCUCAAAGAGUCGAGUUGUUUGGGAAUGCAGCUCAAAAUGGGUGGUGAAUUCCAUCUAAAGCUAAAUAUUGGCGAGAGACCGAUAGCGAACAAGUACCGUGAGGGAAAGAUGAAAAGCACUUUGGAAAGAGAGUUAAACAGUACGUGAAAUUGCUGAAAGGGAAACGCUUGAAGUCAGUCGCGUUGUCUGGGACUCAGCCUUGCUUUUGCUUGGUGCACUUUCCGGAUGACGGGCCAGCAUCGAUUUUGACCGUCGGAAAAGGGCUAGGGUAAUGUGGCACCUCCGGGUGUGUUAUAGACUUUAGUCGCAUACGGCGGUCGGGAUCGAGGAACGCAGCGCGCCGUAAGGCAGGGGUUCGCCCACUUUCGCGCUUAGGAUGCUGGCGUAAUGGCUUUAAACGACCCGUCUUGAAACACGGACCAAGGAGUCUAACAUACCUGCGAGUGUUUGGGUGGAAAACCCGAGCGCGUAAUGAAAGUGAAAGUUGAGACCUCUGUCGUGGAGGGCAUCGACGCCCGGACCUGACGUUCUCUGACGGAUCCGCGGUAGAGCAUGUAUGUUGGGACCCGAAAGAUGGUGAACUAUGCCUGAAUAGGGUGAAGCCAGAGGAAACUCUGGUGGAGGCUCGUAGCGAUUCUGACGUGCAAAUCGAUCGUCAAAUUUGGGUAUAGGGGCGAAAGACUAAUCGACCCCUCUAGGG